AUGCAACCCGGCAGAUACCUUGGGAGCGAGGAGGGUAUUUUGGGGAGUUGCAGUGUUGUGCGGAACAUCAUGUCUGUGCCCUGUGGUGCUGUCAGCGGUGACAGAUCCCAGAUGCAGUCGCUACUGUAUGGCAGAUUGAGUUUCUCAGCAGAAAACUCUCUCCCUCCCUCCCAAACGUCUUCAAAAACCUUCUCCAGAUACUGCGGGUCACUUCGGCUCAAACGGGGAGAGAAAGGGGGGAAAAAAGGCUUUUCCUCUCUCCUCCCUCUCUCUUCCUCCCGCCGGAUCUCUCUGGGGUGCGCGGGGGGCCGUGACCGGGCCCUUGUGCACCCGGGGGCCCGAGGCGACCCCUCUCACCCUGGUCCUGCUGAGAGCCCGUCGCCGAGCACGGGGACCGUGGUCCAGAAGGAGCCUGUCAUUUUAUCCCGGGGUUUCUCGGAAACGCUGAGCGAGCCAGACGCUGCGGCGGCUCCCGCCCUGCUCGGCGCUGCAGCAGCCGCCGGUGCCUUUCCCCUCCGCUGGCCAAGUGCAUCACUGGGGACGCGGCUCCGGGAGUGCUCGAGAAGGAUUUGUACUUAUUUUUUCCAGAGAAGGGUUUUUCUUUCUGUGUCUUUUGCCUAAGCCAGCCGACAUCUAAUUCAGCCAAACACAGCAAAUAUCUCUACCUCAAGUCCAAGAAUCUGAUGGAUACUCCUUUACCCCUGCUUAAUGACUGCAUGUGACCUGUCCUGUGAUCUGCCGAGGUCUGGAGUCAUCUGACAUCGGUAGUAAUGGGGAAUGGAGAAGGAUCUUAUGGCUUUGGACUGUUGGAAAACAGAGCGGAGAUG
RNAcentral lists this long non-coding RNA (827 nucleotides) under Parus major (Great Tit). Its description in RNAcentral is "lncRNA (ENSPMJG00000001528.1)". Lineage: Eukaryota; Metazoa; Chordata; Aves; Passeriformes; Paridae. The record is from RNAcentral.